This 468-nucleotide ribosomal RNA is filed under the name uncultured bacterium. Its description in RNAcentral is "partial 16S ribosomal RNA". It matches the Rfam family "Bacterial small subunit ribosomal RNA", at positions 28 to 507 of the family's 1533-position model. The record is from RNAcentral.
GACGAACGCUGGCGGCGUGCUUAACACAUGCAAGUCGAACGGAAAGGCCCUGCUUUUGUGGGGUGCUCGAGUGGCGAACGGGUGAGUAACACGUGAGUAACCUGCCCUUGACUUUGGGAUAACUUCAGGAAACUGGGGCUAAUACCGGAUAGGAGCUCCUGCUGCAUGGUGGGGGUUGGAAAGUUUCGGCGGUUGGGGUUGGACUCGCGGCUUAUCAGCUUGUUGGUGGGGUAGUGGCUUACCAAGGCUUUGACGGGUAGCCGGCCUGAGAGGGUGACCGGCCACAUUGGGACUGAGAUACGGCCCAGACUCCUACGGGAGGCAGAAGUGGGGAAUAUUGCACAAUGGGCGGAAGCCUGAUGCAGCAACGCCGCGUGCGGGAUGACGGCCUUCGGGUUGUAAACCGCUUUCGCCUGUGACGAAGCGUGAGUGACGGUAAUGGGUAAAGAAGCACCGGCUAACUACGUG